CCUACGGGGGGCUGCAGUGGGGAAUAUUGGACAAUGGGGGCAACCCUGAUCCAGCCAUGCCGCGUGUGUGAAGAAGGCCCUCGGGGUGUAAAGCACUUUCAGUGAGGAAGAACGCCUGGUGGUGAAUACCCAUCAGGAAAGACAUCACUCACAGAAGAAGCACCGGCUAACUCCGUGCCAGCAGCCGCGGUAAUACGGAGGGUGCGAGCGUUAAUCGGAAUUACUGGGCGUAAAGCGCGCGUAGGUGGCUUGAUAAGCCGGUUGUGAAAGCCCCGGGCUCAACCUGGGAACGGCAUCCGGAACUGUCAAGCUAGAGUGCAGGAGAGGAAGGUAGAAUUCCCGGUGUAGCGGUGAAAUGCGUAGAGAUCGGGAGGAAUACCAGUGGCGAAGGCGGCCUUCUGGACUAACACUGACACUGAGGUGCGAAAGCGUGGGUAGCAAACAGGAUUAGAUACCCUAGUAGUC
Molecule: ribosomal RNA, 465 nt
Filed under: Vreelandella stevensii
Lineage: Bacteria; Pseudomonadati; Pseudomonadota; Gammaproteobacteria; Oceanospirillales; Halomonadaceae
Description: partial 16S ribosomal RNA
Rfam family: Bacterial small subunit ribosomal RNA
Source: RNAcentral